GUGAUUCUUUUUUCAGGUGAUACUUGCUACCAGGUCUUGUCUUCUGGUCUGAAACCCUGACCUCCCUGGAACCUCCUCUCUUCCUGCCUAUUCUGCAGAACUCCUGUUCUGGCACAUACAGACAGGUAAUCAGCUCUUUCCACUGCAUGAGUACAGGAUACUGUGCUUGUAUAUAUUACAUACACUCUGCCAACUAGAGUGCCUGGACCAACUUCAUUUACCUCCAAGUGAAAUGCAAUGGAUGAUCUUCAGUUCAUACCUCCCUCUACUAAGGCCAAAACCUUCCUCCAGAAACUUCCUGAAACUGAGUCACACAAUAGAAAUUCUGCAGGCACAAGGAUCAAAUCCUUUCCAUGAAGCUCUCUACAGAUUUAUCCCAUCAAAAACUCACAGGGCACAUGCCAACCUCAAGCUGUCACUAGCAAGUCCUCUCCAACUUUUCAGGAUCUGGAGG
Long non-coding RNA from Mastomys coucha (southern multimammate mouse), 454 nucleotides. RefSeq lists it as uncharacterized. The record is from RefSeq and is a predicted model, not a curated record. The transcript has 4 exons. NCBI's taxonomy places the organism in Eukaryota, Metazoa, Chordata, Mammalia, Rodentia, Muridae.